AUACGGAGGGUGCAAGCGUUGCUCGGAUUCACUGGGCUUAAAGGGCGCGCAGGCGGUCCUGCAAGUCAGAUGUGAAAGCCCACGGCUCAACCGUGGAAGUGCAUUUGAAACUGCAGGACUUGAGUAUCAGAGGGGAAAGUGGAAUUCCCGGUGUAGAGGUGAAAUUCGUAGAUAUCGGGAGGAAUACCGGUGGCGAAGGCGACUUUCUGGCUGAAUACUGACGCUGAGGCGCGAAAGCGUGGGGAGCAAACAGGAUUAGAAACCCCAGUAGUCC
This 274-nucleotide ribosomal RNA is filed under the name uncultured bacterium. RNAcentral describes it as "partial 16S ribosomal RNA". It matches the Rfam family "Bacterial small subunit ribosomal RNA", at positions 523 to 796 of the family's 1533-position model. The record is from RNAcentral.